CCCGCUGAACUUAAGCAUAUCAAUAAGGCGAGGAACAGAAACCAACCGGGAUUCCCUCAGUAGUGGCGAAUGAAGCGGGAAAAGCUCAAGUUUGAAAUCUGGCGGGCGACCUCCAGAGUUGUAAGCUGAAGAGGUGUCGAUCGACGUGGCCCGGGCUCAAUUUCCUUGGAACAGGAGGUCAUGGAGGGUGAGAACCCCGUCUAUGGCUCGGGCUCCGACGUCCUUGUGUCGUAUCCUCGAAGAGUCGGGUUGUUUGGGAAUGCAGCUCAAAAUGGGUGGUAAAUUUCAUCUAAAGCUAAAUACUGGCGAGAGACCGAUAGCGAAACAAGUAGAGUGAUCGAAAGAUGAAAAGCACUUUGAAAAGAGAGUGAAACAGUACGUGAAAUUGUUGAAAGGGAAGCGUUUGGCAUCAGCCCUUGGUGUCCGUCGAUCAUCCGGGCUCCUGCCCGGUGCACUUGUCGGACGUCGGGCCAGCGUCGGCUUCGCUCGUGGGAGAAAGGCGUGGGGGACGUGGCUCCCUUCGGGGAGCGUUAUAACCCCGCGCGUCACGCCACGGGGCGAGGCCGAGGUCCGCGGUCAAUCCUAGGACGCUGGCGUAAUGGUUCCAAGCGACCCGUCUUGAAACACGG
RNAcentral lists this ribosomal RNA (629 nucleotides) under uncultured fungus. Its description in RNAcentral is "eukaryotic LSU rRNA". It matches the Rfam family "Eukaryotic large subunit ribosomal RNA", at positions 24 to 664 of the family's 3401-position model. Lineage: Eukaryota; Fungi. The record is from RNAcentral.